RNAcentral lists this transfer RNA (68 nucleotides) under bovine gut metagenome. It matches the Rfam family "tRNA". Rfam says of the family: Transfer RNA (tRNA) molecules are approximately 80 nucleotides in length. Their secondary structure includes four short double-helical elements and three loops (D, anti-codon, and T loops). The record is from RNAcentral.
GGGUAUAGCUCAGUUGGUAGAGCGUCGGUCUCCAAAACCGUGCGUCGAGGGUUCAAGUCCUUCUGCCC